Non-coding RNA from Danio rerio (zebrafish), 46 nucleotides. Lineage: Eukaryota; Metazoa; Chordata; Actinopteri; Cypriniformes; Danionidae. The record is from Rfam.
CCAAAGGUUCUUCUCAGAGCCACCACUUCUGCACCAAACGAGCAUU